GGCCCGCUGGCGCAACGGUAGCGCGUCAGAUUCCAGAUCAUAUGGAGAUUCCUGAAGGUUACCUGUUCGAAUCAGGUGUGGGUCA
RNAcentral lists this transfer RNA (85 nucleotides) under Karstenula rhodostoma CBS 690.94. It matches the Rfam family "tRNA". Rfam says of the family: Transfer RNA (tRNA) molecules are approximately 80 nucleotides in length. Lineage: Eukaryota; Fungi; Ascomycota; Dothideomycetes; Pleosporales; Didymosphaeriaceae. The record is from Rfam by way of RNAcentral.